RNAcentral lists this ribosomal RNA (372 nucleotides) under uncultured organism. RNAcentral describes it as "partial 16S ribosomal RNA". It matches the Rfam family "Bacterial small subunit ribosomal RNA", at positions 527 to 896 of the family's 1533-position model. The record is from RNAcentral.
GUAGGUGGCAAGCGUUGUCCGGAAUUAUUGGGCGUAAAGCGCGCGCAGGUGGUUCUUUAAGUCUGAUGUGAAAGCCCCCGGGCUCAACCGGGGAGGGUCAUUGGAAACUGGGGAACUUGAGUGCAGGAGAGGAAAGUGGAAUUCCACGUGUAGCGGCGAGAUGCGUAGAUAUGUGGAGGAACACCAGUGGCGAAGGCGACUUUCUGGCCUGUAACUGACACUGAGGCGCGAAAGCGUGGGGAGCAAACAGGAUUAGAUACCCUGGUAGUCCACGCCGUAAACGAUGAGUGCUAAGUGUUGGGGGGUUUCCGCCCCUCAGUGCUGCAGCUAACGCAUUAAGCACUCCGCCUGGGGAGUACGGUCGCAAGACUG